UGCAGUCGAGCGGACCGACGGGAGCUUGCUCCCUUAGGUCAGCGGCGGACGGGUGAGUAACACGUGGGUAACCUGCCUGUAAGACUGGGAUAACUCCGGGAAACCGGGGCUAAUACCGGAUGCUUGAUUGAACCGCAUGGUUCAAUCAUAAAAGGUGGCUUUUAGCUACCACUURCAGAUGGACCCGCGGCGCAUUAGCUAGUUGGUGAGGUAACGGCUCACCAAGGCGACGAUGCGUAGCCGACCUGAGAGGGUGAUCGGCCACACUGGGACUGAGACACGGCCCAGACUCCUACGGGAGGCAGCAGUAGGGAAUCUUCCGCAAUGGACGAAAGUCUGACGGAGCAACGCCGCGUGAGUGAUGAAGGUUUUCGGAUCGUAAAACUCUGUUGUUAGGGAAGAACAAGUACCGUUCGAAUAGGGCGGCACCUUGACGGUACCUAACCAGAAAGCCACGGCUAACUACGUGCCAGCAGCCGCGGUAAUACGUAGGUGGCAAGCGUUGUCCGGAAUUAUUGGGCGUAAAGCGCGCGCAGGCGGUUUCUUAAGUCUGAUGUGAAAGCCCCCGGCUCAACCGGGGAGGGUCAUUGGAAACUGGGGAACUUGAGUGCAGAAGAGGAGAGUGGAAUUCCACGUGUAGCGGUGAAAUGCGUAGAGAUGUGGAGGAACACCAGUGGCGAAGGCGACUCUCUGGUCUGUAACUGACGCUGAGGCGCGAAAGCGUGGGGAGCGAACAGGAUUAGAUACCCUGGUAGUCCACGCCGUAAACGAUGAGUGCUAAGUGUUAGAGGGUUUCCGCCCUUUAGUGCUGCAGCAAACGCAUUAAGCACUCCGCCUGGGGAGUACGGUCGCAAGACUGAAACUCAAAGGAAUUGACGGGGGCCCGCACAAGCGGUGGAGCAUGUGGUUUAAUUCGAAGCAACGCGAAGAACCUUACCAGGUCUUGACAUCCUCUGACAACCCUAGAGAUAGGGCUUCCCCUUCGGGGGCAGAAUGACAGGUGGUGCAUGGUUGUCGUCAGCUCCUGUCGUGAGAUGUUGGGUUAAGUCCCGCAACGAGC
Molecule: ribosomal RNA, 1060 nt
Filed under: Bacillus sp. 589B1_12EMannit
Lineage: Bacteria; Bacillati; Bacillota; Bacilli; Caryophanales; Bacillaceae
Description: bacterial SSU rRNA
Rfam family: Bacterial small subunit ribosomal RNA
Source: RNAcentral